Molecule: ribosomal RNA, 416 nt
Filed under: uncultured bacterium
Lineage: Bacteria
Description: bacterial SSU rRNA
Rfam family: Bacterial small subunit ribosomal RNA
Source: RNAcentral
GGGCCCGCACAAGCGGUGGAGCAUGUGGUUUAAUUCGAUGCAACGCGAAAAACCUUACCAGGCCUUGACAUCCAGAGAACUUACCAGAGAUGGUUCGGUGCCUUCGGGAACUCUGUGACAGGUGUUGCAUGGCUGUCGUCAGCUCGUGUCGUGAGAUGUUGGGUUAAGUCCCGUAACGAGCGCAACCCUUAUCCUUACUUGCCAGCACGUAAUGGUGGGAACUUUAAGGAGACUGCCGGUGACAAACCGGAGGAAGGAGAGGAUGAUGUCAAGUCAUCAUGGCCCUUACGGCCUGGGCCACACACGUGCUACAAUGGUAGGUACAGAGGGAAGCCACCCCGCGAGGGGGAGCGGAUCUACAAAACCUAUCUCAGUUCGGAUCGGAGUCUGCAACUCGACUCCGUGAAGCUGGAAUC